CUGGGGAGGAGACCACAACACUCAAAUACCCAGAUCCCUGGUAGCUGCCAGCCAGGCAUCGAGGAGGCCACUUGUCUUUUUCAGCUCCAGCUGCUCCUUUAGGUCUCUCUGUGCCGUAGGUGUGAUCAUCUUGUGCCCCAGAGCUCUUUGGCUUCGGUGAAAUGUCAACAAUCCUGAAAUGGUUUGGACGGGAAGAUAAGGAGAGAGAGG
Molecule: long non-coding RNA, 210 nt
Organism: Manacus vitellinus (golden-collared manakin)
Lineage: Eukaryota; Metazoa; Chordata; Aves; Passeriformes; Pipridae
Exons: 3
Source: RefSeq, a predicted model, not a curated record